This 113-nucleotide small nuclear RNA is filed under the name Canis lupus familiaris (dog). Its description in RNAcentral is "U4 spliceosomal RNA (multiple genes)". The stretch from base 1 to 79 matches the Rfam family "U4 spliceosomal RNA". From Rfam's summary of the family: U4 small nuclear RNA (U4 snRNA) is a component of the major U2-dependent spliceosome. The structure of U4 snRNA from yeast and human has been reported. U4 snRNA presents a k-turn RNA motif in the 5p-SL related to recognition of Snu13 protein. Lineage: Eukaryota; Metazoa; Chordata; Mammalia; Carnivora; Canidae. The record is from RNAcentral.
AGCUUUGCGCAGUGGCAGUAUCGUAGCCAAUGAGGUUUAUCCGAGGCACGAUUAUUGCUAAUAAAUUGAAUUUAAAUUAAAAAAAGAAAAACACUUGGAGAUCCCAGACAGAA